GAUGAACGCUAGCUACAGGCUUAACACAUGCAAGUCGCGGGGCAGCAUGGGGGUUGCUUGCAAUCCCCGAUGGCGACCGGCGCACGGGUGAGUAACGCGUAUCCAACCUGCCCUUCACCACGGGAUAACCCGGCGAAAGUCGGACUAAUACCGUAUGUUGUCCAUUGACGGCAUCCGAUUUGGACGAAAGGCUUGGCGGUGAGGGAUGGGGAUGCGUCCGAUUAGCCAGACGGCGGGGUAACGGCCCACCGUGGCUACGAUCGGUAGGGGUUCUGAGAGGAAGGUCCCCCACACUGGAACUGAGACACGGUCCAGACUCCUACGGGAGGCAGCAGUGAGGAAUAUUGGUCAAUGGGCGUAAGCCUGAACCAGCCAAGUAGCGUGCAGGAUGACGGCCCUAUGGGUUGUAAACUGCUUUUAUGCGGGGAUAAAGUGGCCCACGUGUGGGCUUUUGCAGGUACCGCAUGAAUAAGGGCCGGCUAAUUCCGUG
Molecule: ribosomal RNA, 490 nt
Filed under: uncultured bacterium
Lineage: Bacteria
Description: partial 16S ribosomal RNA
Rfam family: Bacterial small subunit ribosomal RNA
Source: RNAcentral